GUACCAUGGUCGAUGAAUGCUUGCAGAGCUUGAUCGGGCAUAGUUGACACCUAAUCAACAAGAUUUGUGACAAACACAUUAACAUUUGGUGACCAUCUAAGCAGUUAAUAUCGCCGAUAUAUCACCGAUGAGAUAUCAGAGAUAAAUCGUCACCUCUACAGCAAGGUGGACCACCUUACACAACAUAUGGUUCACACUACUCACCGUGUCUGGCCCAACAAGUGGGGCCACAUAUAGGGUGUCGGGAUAGGCCGGGUUCUUAACACUGGUUGAGGCCCAUAGCAACCGUUGCUUCUUAGCUCCUUUCUUCACAAGGGCCUCCCAUCGUGGGCCCGAGAAUUUCUUUUGGUAAAGUUGGAAGGCUAGAGCCGCUUGAGCAUUUGCAGCCUGUAAAUUUAACCAUGUGGUGAAAAAAAGAUUUCGAAGGUAAAUUUUCAGUUCAUUACUUUAAUGAUUGGCUUUUUACCUUUCCUCGAAGAUUGAGGGCCUCUGGGGUUCCGAUUUUUUCAAGCAUUUUGUCGACAAGUGUGUCUACUCGACUAACAAA
This is a long non-coding RNA of Helianthus annuus (common sunflower), 547 nucleotides long. RefSeq lists it as uncharacterized. Lineage: Eukaryota; Viridiplantae; Streptophyta; Magnoliopsida; Asterales; Asteraceae. The transcript has 2 exons. The record is from RefSeq and is a predicted model, not a curated record.